This 69-nucleotide antisense RNA is filed under the name Kutzneria buriramensis. Its description in RNAcentral is "ASpks TB sRNA". It matches the Rfam family "ASpks TB sRNA". Lineage: Bacteria; Bacillati; Actinomycetota; Actinomycetes; Pseudonocardiales; Pseudonocardiaceae. The record is from RNAcentral.
CUUGAUCGAACCGAGGUACAGCGGCUCGGACCGGUCCUGGCCGUAGGUGGCCAGCACGGCCUGCGCCUC